GACGAACGCUGGCGGCGUGCUUAACACAUGCAAGUCGAACGGAAAGGCCCUGCUUUUGUGGGGUGCUCGAGUGGCGAACGGGUGAGUAACACGUGAGUAACCUGCCCUUGACUUUGGUAUAACUUCAGGAAACUGGGGCUAAUACCGGAUAGGAUCUCCUGCUGCAUGGUGGGGGUUGGAAAUUUUCGGCGGUUGGGGAUGGAGUGGCGGCUUAUGGGCUUGUUGGUGGGGGAGUGGCUUACCAAGGCAUUGAAGGGUAGGCGGCAUGGGAGGGGGACCGGGGACAAGGGGACUGAGAGAGGGAGCAGACGCGUACGGGAGGCAGCAGGGGGGAGUAUUGCACAAUGAGAGGAAGCCUGAUGAAGCAACGCCGCGGGCGGGAUGACGGCCUUCGGGUUGUGAACCGCAUUAGCCUGUGACGAAGCGGGAGUGACGGUAAUGGGUAAAGAAGCACCGGCUAACUACGUG
This 468-nucleotide ribosomal RNA is filed under the name uncultured bacterium. Its description in RNAcentral is "partial 16S ribosomal RNA". It matches the Rfam family "Bacterial small subunit ribosomal RNA", at positions 28 to 507 of the family's 1533-position model. The record is from RNAcentral.